This 388-nucleotide ribosomal RNA is filed under the name uncultured Acidobacteriota bacterium. RNAcentral's name for it is "SSU rRNA". It matches the Rfam family "Bacterial small subunit ribosomal RNA", at positions 242 to 647 of the family's 1533-position model. The record is from RNAcentral. Lineage: Bacteria; Pseudomonadati; Acidobacteriota.
CAGCUAGUUGGUAGGGUAAUGGCCUACCAAGGCGAAGAUCGGUAUCCGGCCUGAGAGGGCGCACGGACACACUGGAACUGAAACACGGUCCAGACUCCUACGGGAGGCAGCAGUGGGGAAUUUUGCGCAAUGGGGGAAACCCUGACGCAGCAACGCCGCGUGGAGGAUGAAGCCCCUUGGGGUGUAAACUCCUUUCGACCGGGAAAAUGAUGAUGGUACCGGUGGAAGAAGCACCGGCUAACUCUGUGCCAGCAGCCGCGGUAAUACAGAGGGUGCGAGCGUUGUUCGGAAUUAUUGGGCGUAAAGGGCGCGUAGGCGGUACGGUAAGUCACCUGUGAAACCUCUGGGCUUAACUCAGAGCCUGCAGGCGAAACUGUCGUGCUGGAGG